AUGGUUUUAUGCAGCUUCCUCAUCCUGACAUCCCUGUGCAUUGUGGGCCAUGAUCAGGCCCUCACCCCUGCUGAAUGUGGGGCUUACGCCAGACAACCAGAAUACACAGACUCCUCAGUGGUCUGGGGGUCCUCCUACAUUGACCUGGCUAUUCAAAUCUGCCAUGCCAUCUAGUCUGUUGAUCCUGAGCCACAUCAUGUAUAACACAGUCUGUAAGGGAACUCUGAACACCAGAGUGAUUCCUCCUGUCCUGUGAUUCAGCUUUCCCCUUUGCCAAGGGGAGUCCACAUGAUCAACAUGUCCUCCAGGAACAGGGACAUUCUCAGACUUCUCCAGCCUCCAGACGGUCAAUGUGAGCGUGGUGGUCCGAUCAUACGACACCAACAUUGGAACGGUCACCUAUAAUGCUGAGCUCAAGUACUUUUACUCAUGUGCUUACCCUCUGGAGUACCUCGUCAAGAACACCCUAGUGGACGUGUCAGCCUCCUCCAUUACUGUGAAGAACAACAAUGGUAGCUUCAUCAGUGCUCUGAGCAAUGCCCUGUACCAGGAUGCAAACUAUACCACACACCUGGCUAUCCCUUCUCUGGUUAUUGAGGACUAAUGUCUACGUUCAGGUUUUAGCUGCCAACCUGACUUGCCAAUACUAUGUGCUUCUGGACUGA
Molecule: long non-coding RNA, 665 nt
Organism: Salmo salar (Atlantic salmon)
Lineage: Eukaryota; Metazoa; Chordata; Actinopteri; Salmoniformes; Salmonidae
Product: zona pellucida-like domain-containing protein 1
Source: RefSeq, a predicted model, not a curated record